RNAcentral lists this ribosomal RNA (253 nucleotides) under uncultured bacterium. RNAcentral describes it as "partial 16S ribosomal RNA". It matches the Rfam family "Bacterial small subunit ribosomal RNA", at positions 524 to 776 of the family's 1533-position model. The record is from RNAcentral.
UACGUAGGGUGCAAGCGUUGUCCGGAAUUAUUGGGCGUAAAGAGCUCGUAGGCGGCUGUUCAAGUCGAACGUGAAAACUCGGAGCUCAACUCCGAGCCUGCGUUCGAUACUGGACGGCUAGAGUCUGGUAGGGGGAUCUGGAAUUCCUGGUGUAGCGGUGGAAUGCGCAGAUAUCAGGAAGAACACCAACGGCGAAGGCAGCUCGCUGGGACGGUACUGACGCUGAGGUGCGAAAGCGUGGGGAGCAAACAGG